Molecule: ribosomal RNA, 482 nt
Filed under: uncultured bacterium
Lineage: Bacteria
Description: partial 16S ribosomal RNA
Rfam family: Bacterial small subunit ribosomal RNA
Source: RNAcentral
AUUGAACGCUGGCGGCAUGCCUUACACAUGCAAGUCGAACGGUAACAGGUCUUCGGAUGCUGACGAGUGGCGAACGGGUGAGUAAUACAUCGGAACGUGCCCAGACGUGGGGGAUAACGAGGUGAAAGCUUUGCUAAUACCGCAUACGAUCUAAGGAUGAAAGCAGGGGACCGCAAGGCCUUGUGCGUUUGGAGCGGCCGAUGGCAGAUUAGGUAGUUGGUGGGAUAAAAGCUUACCAAGCCGACGAUCUGUAGCUGGUCUGAGAGGACGACCAGCCACACUGGGACUGAGACACGGCCCAGACUCCUACGGGAGGCAGCAGUGGGGAAUUUUGGACAAUGGGCGAAAGCCUGAUCCAGCAAUGCCGCGUGCAGGAUGAAGGCCUUCGGGUUGUAAACUGCUUUUGUACGGAACGAAAAGGCUCUGGCUAAUACCUGGGGCACAUGACGGUACCGUAAGAAUAAGCACCGGCUAACUACGUG